This is a long non-coding RNA of Rosa chinensis, 1019 nucleotides long. RefSeq lists it as uncharacterized. The record is from RefSeq and is a predicted model, not a curated record. Lineage: Eukaryota; Viridiplantae; Streptophyta; Magnoliopsida; Rosales; Rosaceae. The transcript is spliced from 6 exons.
GUGACCUCUGUCUUGAUCACGCUUCGACCUCAGUCCCCAGUCCCGGCGUGAACGACCUCUCUCUCUGACCUCCGUCACAAUUGCAUAACGUCGGUGGUUGUCGUCUCUCUUUCUACUUCGCCGGAAGUCGAAGCUCUCUCUGCAAAACCCCAUCGAUCUGGGCUUUUUGACAUCUAUGGAUCGGAGCACCAUGAGCUCAAGGCCAAGGAUGAGAAUACCCUCCUCGUCGGUUAGCUAAUCGCCGUCUUUGGGCUCAGAAACUGGAGGUGAUCCCAUGGUGUCGGCUGGUGUUGAUAUUGUCCGCAGAUCUGUGCAACCCCUUUCAAGUAUGGCUGAGCUUUGAUUGCAUCAGUAUGACGUGGUUUUUGUUAUGUCCUUGUGAUUUCAUUUCGGUGACGGCGCUGGGUUUGGGCGAUAGGGUUUAUGCCAAGAUUUCUAGGGUGGAGAUGGAUGAGCGUCCACAGAGAUUGGAUGGAAUAGGACAAUCUCAAUCUGCAGAUAGAACCAAAUUUGUGCUUAGUUUUGUUUCUUGCAAUGUGUUAUUACAGUUGAAAAGUCUAGUGAUUUUUGCAGGUCUCAUUUUGUAACCUAUUGAUGUUCUACUGCAAAGACGGGAGCAAAAAGCAUUUACAAGGGCUUGUGCAAAUUACAGUUUUGGACCAUUGAGUGGUUUGUUUAUCUAUGAGUGGUUUGUCUAUGUAUGAACUACUGGGAUCACAUCCUUUCUGCUUAUCCAUUGUCUGUGUUGAAAACUAUAGGGUUUGUGGAUAUGAAGCAAGCUGAUCCUUAAGGCCAUAUUCUGAUAUGGGAACUUCCCAAAUGGGAGCAAAUGUCCAAUGGCCUUGAUAAGGCUCCAACGGCCUUGUUUUUUAAUGUUAAUGAUUUGCUCUUUUAAUUUUUUUUAUUGAUAAGGCUCCAACGGCCUUGAUUCCUAGUUUUCAAAGUAAUUUGUUAAAAGAAGAUGGACAUGAUUCAGGACUCAAGUAGACUAAUUAUAUUAAAAUAUAUAUAUAUGGUUA